UGCGUAGGCGGCCUUGUGUGUCGGAUGUGAAAUCUCACUGCUCAACGGUGAAACUGCAUCCGAAACUGCAGGGCUUGAGUACAGGAGGGGAGAGCGGAAUUCUCGGUGUAGCGGUGAAAUGCGUUGAUAUCGAGAAGAACACCGGUGGCGAAGGCGGCUCUCUGGACUGAUACUGACGCUGAGGCACGAAAGCGUGGGGGAGCGAACA
RNAcentral lists this ribosomal RNA (208 nucleotides) under uncultured bacterium. RNAcentral's name for it is "partial 16S ribosomal RNA". It matches the Rfam family "Bacterial small subunit ribosomal RNA", at positions 568 to 774 of the family's 1533-position model. The record is from RNAcentral.